GGAUUGGACCUGUUGUCAUGUGUGUCAGUUCCUGUUUUCCUUAUUUGGUCUGUUUCCUGUCCUUGUUCAGUUUGAUUAUUAAUUGAUUCCAUACACCUGUGUUUCCCAUAUUAUCCUGAGUUUAAAAGCCCCAGUCUUUCAGUUCAGUUUUGUCGGGUCUACAAGUCAAGUACGUGUGUCUUCCUCCUGGUCUCCAUGUUGGAUUUACUCAUGUGGUGGAUUAAUAAAGACUGUUUUGCUUAUCCUCGGCUCUGUGUUCCUUCCGGCACAGUAGUGUGACAUAAGACCUGACCUUAACAGUUUAAAUUGCGUGUCUACCCUCCAUUUGUUUUCUGGUUUUCCUCAGUCUUUUUAUUUCCGAUGUGCACCCUAUGGAUCCCCUCCUUCGCCCUAAAUUCAUCCUCCUCCUGCAGGAACAGAGGGAAAAUUCACUCGAGGCUCUUACCAGACUGUUUCUGGCUAUUGCCCAUCUUACCACCUACCCGGACAACGCACUCUGCUCAUUCUAUGACGCAAGCCUCAACCCUGUGUGCAGAGCGCCAUCAUCCAAAGAUGGCCCUCAAGCAGAUUUUUCCACCUUCGUGGAAUGGUUUCUGGCAAGAAACAGAUCGCCAUUUACCAUCGGCCCCGAGGAGGAUCUCCCCGAAUCCACUCCAGCACCAGUGCCCAGCCCACCAUCUCUCCACGGUGCGGAGCAUCAGCCCGAGCCCAACGAUUACGGAGAGCCUAUUACUGCCGCAAACAAUGAGCCAGCGCAAUCCCAAGCGACUGAGUGGAGGAUCGCCCCAGAUAUGGAGCCCAACCCGUCAGACCAGGUGCGAGAGCUGGCUACAGUGCCCACUGCAAGGGAGAGAGCCGCGGAUGGUGUGAACGUGGAGUGGAGUGGAGCCCCCUGCAUCCUGGCUGAGGGUGAGCCGAGUAUGGAGCACGAAAAUGAGGAGGAGGAGGAUCUUAUAGAUAGGGAAUCUGAACUGAAGGUUGAACUGCCCCCUCUCCUCUCUCCGUCGUCUCCGCUGGUCCCGUCCAGCCCUCCUUCGUCCUUGGUUUCCUCGUCCAGCCCUGAGGGGGCUUCCAAUUAUCCAGUGGCCGCUCCUCCAAAAUGCCCGCCCUACCACCCGCUCCUGCCUCCUCCAGCACUGU
Molecule: long non-coding RNA, 1140 nt
Organism: Cyprinus carpio (common carp)
Lineage: Eukaryota; Metazoa; Chordata; Actinopteri; Cypriniformes; Cyprinidae
Source: Ensembl